Molecule: long non-coding RNA, 463 nt
Filed under: Glycine max (soybean)
Lineage: Eukaryota; Viridiplantae; Streptophyta; Magnoliopsida; Fabales; Fabaceae
Description: long non-coding RNA (GMAX_LNC000207)
Source: RNAcentral
UACAAGGUGAACAAAUUUCAGAAAACAUCAUGAAAUUGGAAGGUAAAUUAAACCUAGCUCAUUGCCAGGCCAUGUUCGUAGCACUGCAAGGACUAGUUUGCUAUAAUGAGAUAUGGGUGGAGGAUCACAAGCUGACUCAAAAAUAGGAAUCUAAAGUGCAUCAGUUUCAAUUAGCCCAAGAUUUAAAGCAUUCUCUGAUUGGUUACUGAAUGUACCAUAUUUAACAACCAUUUCGAGGCCAUCAAAAUCACUACAUUCGACGUCAAUGUUAUCCCCUUAAUUAAGAUAAUUUUUAACUUUUAUCUACUUCAUCAUCUGCACAAUCUAAACCCUAGCUCGGUUGUCGAUGUUUUAGAAAAGAAAAUAGGUGAUAACAUGAAUACUCCUUUGUCCUUUUCACAUUGUCGUGCAUUGGGAGGAUGAUCUUUCUUACUAUGAUUGAUUUAACAUUUGCUUGUUAAAA